This 793-nucleotide ribosomal RNA is filed under the name uncultured bacterium. RNAcentral's name for it is "bacterial SSU rRNA". It matches the Rfam family "Bacterial small subunit ribosomal RNA", at positions 8 to 796 of the family's 1533-position model. The record is from RNAcentral.
AGAGUUUGAUCCUGGCUCAGAUUGAACGCUGGCGGCAUGCCUUACACAUGCAAGUCGAACGGUAACAGGGAGCUUGCUCCGCUGACGAGUGGCGAACGGGUGAGUAAUAUAUCGGAACAUACCCUAGAGUGGGGGAUAACGUAGCGAAAGUUACGCUAAUACCGCAUACGAACUAAGGUUGAAAGUGGGGGCUCGCAAGACCUCAUGCUCAUGGAGUGGCCGAUAUCUGAUUAGCUAGUUGGUGAGGUAAAGGCUCACCAAGGCGACGAUCAGUAGCUGGUUUGAGAGAACGACCAGCCACACUGGAACUGAGACACGGUCCAGACUCCUACGGGAGGCAGCAGUGGGGAAUUUUGGACAAUGGGGGCAACCCUGAUCCAGCAAUGCCGCGUGAGUGAAGAAGGCCUUCGGGUUGUAAAGCUCUUUUGUCAGGGAAGAAACGGUGAGGUCUAAUACACUUUACUAAUGACGGUACCUGAAGAAUAAGCACCGGCUAACUACGUGCCAGCAGCCGCGGUAAUACGUAGGGUGCAAGCGUUAAUCGGAAUUACUGGGCGUAAAGCGUGCGCAGGCGGUUAUAUAAGUCAGAUGUGAAAUCCCCGGGCUCAACCUGGGAACUGCAUUUGAGACUGUAUGGCUAGAGUGUGUCAGAGGGGGGUAGAAUUCCACGUGUAGCAGUGAAAUGCGUAGAUAUGUGGAGGAAUACCGAUGGCGAAGGCAGCCCCCUGGGAUAACACUGACGCUCAUGCACGAAAGCGUGGGGAGCGAACAGGAUUAGAUACCCUGGUAGUCC